GCCCGGGUCUGGUGCUCGGAGCUGUGCGGUUGCUCCCGCCAUCCGCGCAGGCUGGACGGCACCGGCCGGGCCACGGUCUCGUCCUCGCCCGGGUAC
RNAcentral lists this transfer RNA (96 nucleotides) under Mycobacterium attenuatum. RNAcentral describes it as "Mycobacterium sp. MK41 tRNA-Gly". Lineage: Bacteria; Bacillati; Actinomycetota; Actinomycetes; Mycobacteriales; Mycobacteriaceae. The record is from RNAcentral.